UGGGGAAUAUUGCACAAUGGGCGAAAGCCUGAUGCAGCAACGCCGCGUGAGUGAUGAAGGCCUUCGGGUUGUAAAGCUCUGUCUUUUGGGACGAUAAUGACGGUACCAAAGGAGGAAGCCACGGCUAACUACGUGCCAGCAGCCGCGGUAAUACGUAGGUGGCAAGCGUUGUCCGGAUUUACUGGGCGUAAAGGAUGCGUAGGCGGAUUUUUAAGUGAGAUGUGAAAUACCCGGGCUUAACUUGGGUGCUGCACUUCAAACUGGGAAUCUAGAGUGCGGGAGAGGAGAAUGGAAUUCCUAGUGUAGCGGUGAAAUGCGUAGAGAUUAGGAAGAACACCAGUGGCGAAGGCGAUUCUCUGGACCGUAACUGACGCUGAGGCAUGAAAAGCGUGGGUAGCAAACAGGAUUAGAUACCCUGGUAGUCCACGCCGUAAACGAUGAGUACUAGGUGUAGGAGGUAUCGACCCCUUCUGUGCCGCAGUUAACACAAUAAGUACUCCGCCUGGGAAGUACGAUCGCAAGAUUAAAACUCAAAGGAAUUGACGGGGUC
This 550-nucleotide ribosomal RNA is filed under the name uncultured bacterium. RNAcentral's name for it is "partial 16S ribosomal RNA". It matches the Rfam family "Bacterial small subunit ribosomal RNA", at positions 355 to 920 of the family's 1533-position model. The record is from RNAcentral.